GUGAGGAAUUUUCCGCAAUGGGCGAAAGCCUGACGGAGCAAUGCCGCGUGAAGGAUGAAGGCCUAUGGGUUGUAAACUUCUUUUCUCAGAAAAGAAUUAUGACGGUAUCUGAGGAAUAAGCAUCGGCUAACUCUGUGCCAGCAGCCGCGGUAAGACAGAGGAUGCAAGCGUUAUCCGGAAUGAUUGGGCGUAAAGCGUCUGUAGGUUGUUUAAAAAGUAUUCUGUCAAAGAUUAGGGCUUAACCCUAGAUAGGCAGAAUAAGCUUUUAAGCUAGAGUUUGGUAGAGGCAGAGGGAAUUCCCGGUGGAGCGGUGAAAUGCGUAGAUAUCGGGAGGAACACCAAAGGCGAAGGCACUCUGCUGGGCCAAUACUAACACUGAGAGACGAAAGCGAGGGGAGCAAAUGGGAUUAGAUACCCGAGUAGUCC
RNAcentral lists this ribosomal RNA (426 nucleotides) under uncultured bacterium. RNAcentral's name for it is "partial 16S ribosomal RNA". It matches the Rfam family "Bacterial small subunit ribosomal RNA", at positions 354 to 796 of the family's 1533-position model. The record is from RNAcentral.